CUCGCGGCCUGGGCGGGCGUGGCGCCUCCCGCUUCCGGCGGGUUGGGUCCCGGGCCGUGCUGGGAGGACGGCGGGUCCUGCGGGACUCCGCGGCCCUCAAGGAGGAACGGCCAGGCCAGAGGAGAGCAGCGGCUGUUCGGGUGCCGAGUCUUUCCUGCUCCUGCACGUCACGGGACUCGGGCAUUUGCCAGCUAACGGAACACAGCGAGUGGUGUGUGAGCCCCAGACAAGGAAACAGAUGAGCCUUUUGAGAGCCGCGCACCCAGCAGGGAGGGGGCGUCUGGAGCGGGACGCCCUGGGCAGGCGGCUUCCCAGGGAAGCAGUGUAAGGGGGCAGCUCAUGCACAGAACCCUCGUCUCCACCUUACAGGCAGCCUCCGUCAUUUUUCUGCUUCCCUCCAAAUCUGUUUUCUGGGGCCACUUUAGUUUCCUUUACCAAACAAGGUGCAUGUGUCUGCAUGUCGGGGAACAAGUGGGGGCUGGAACGUGGGGACGGGAGCCUCUGCCUCCCUAGACACGGUCCCAGAGAGCACGCUGAGGGGGCCGUGUGCACAGCCCGCACCAGCCAUGAGGGAUGCGCCCCAGGCACUUCUGAGCAGGGCCACUGCUUCCUCGGGAGGGACAGAGCUGCUAAGCCCUGGAACAUGCCCCGCUCCCCAUGGUGCAGGGGGGAGACACCCAGGGCCCCCACAGGAGGAGCCCCACCCAGUCCUGCCAAGCAGCGGCCGCAGCGCGCACGUGUGGCACCUGGGCCUGGUAAACAGCAGGUUCUGGCUCAGCAGGUCCCUGCGCUGCCCACAGCCCCCUGGUCCAGGGGCAGCACUGUGAGGGCAGCACCCCAGCCUGGGGGAGCAGCGCCUCAUCUGAAUGGAAUGAGGAAGUGAGGAAACGUGGCCUGUCCACAAAGUGCUGCCCGCUUCUACGAGGGACACGGGAGGCACCCACUUCAGGUGCCGCCUUCCCAGCCUCACUGAGAACUGCAGACAGAUCCCAGCUGGGGGACACGCCAUACCCACCAAGCCACUGCUCUGAAAACUGCCAGAGCCGGCAGCCAACAGGCAAGCAGGAAUUCACAGCCCAGGGAAGCGUAACGAGACAUCACAAGCAAGAGUGAAGUGGGGUCCAGGGACAGGAAACGACAUUAGAUAAAAACGAAGGAAACGUGAAUUUAGCGCAGACUUCAGUUAAUGACGUAUCGACACUGGUUCACUAGCUCAUAGAAAACCCACCACGUUAAAGGGAGAUGUUAACGAUACAGAAAACCGGCCAUGGGGUAGAAGGGUCUUGUGCUAUAUUUGCAGCUUUUCUAUAAAUCUAAGAUUAUUCUAAACUUGAAAUCAAAGUCAAGAGUUCAAGCCCCAUGUGUGGCACAGACAUGACUUAAAAUAGGGGCCCCUGGGUGGCUCGGUUGAGCAUUUGACUCUUGAUUUCAACUCGGGUCAUGAUCUCACGGUUCAUGAGAUUGAGCCCCCCCAUCAAACUCUGUGCCAACAGCACAGAGCCUGCUUGGAUUCUCUUUCCCUCUCUCUCUCUCUCUCUGCCUCUCCCCCUCCCAAAAGAUAAAUAAAGGAAAAAUAAAAGACUGCCAUGCCCCAAGUGGUCUUUGAAAAAGGUGAGAUUUCAGUUGAACUGGGGGGAGUGUAGAAAGGCUGCUUUUUCUGUGGCUGUGUGUGUGUUGGAAAGAGUCCCUCGAGGAGUGACAGCCACAUCAGCACCGUGUGGCGAUGGCUGCCUGCCCCCACCCCCACUGAGGGAAGGACAGGCAGGUGCCCAGAACCUUACCGCCUGCAGCUUGUCCUGGUUGUCCCGCAGCACCUUCUCCGUGUGCCUGUGGGCCUUUGCCACCAGCACUUUGGCUUCCUGCCAAUGGGCGAACAGAUCUGUCACGAGCAGGACGGCAGACCGAUGCUCACGACAUCUCCUGUGCCUGAUUCUGGCACAGAAUUCUGGCCUCAGAGCACACGUUAGAGCCACGGGGCAGGAAGCCGACCUCCGGCUCACGGGGACCAGGACAGCGUGGCUGCCAGUGGCAUUUCCUGCCCUGACCCCAUCCCCCGCGAAUGCCCCUGUUCCAGGAGGCUGCCUCCCGCCCCUUCCCCCUUCACGGCUGCAGGCGCCCACCAGCUCCUGGAGCCCGGGGAGCGUGCGGCCACCUCACGUGUGCACCAGGCUGGAAGUGGGCCCGGCCAGGUUGCGCAGGGAGCGUGCGUGUGUCCUGCAGGUGUGGGGACCGCUGGGCACCGGCUGCAUCAUUUGGGGUGUUUCACGGACAGUUUCACCAGGGGCCACGCAAGUCCUCACCCGAGAGCUCAGAACGUGAGAGCCACGAGGGGUCAGGACUGGAAAGCCCACCACGUGGACCACGUGACGACACAGCGCCAGCACCUCAGACACCUGCUCCCUGACCCGCUGCACCGUGAGGGGGGGCAGCACGCACUCACGUGAUCCAUCAUCUGCUGGAGGCCCUGGCUGAAGGGACGCCGUCCAACUCCCGUGAGUCCCUCCUGCGCCUUGGGAAAGGACACGGGCCCGAUGCUUGGGGCCAUGCCAAACUGCCUCACCAUGGAGUAGGCGAUGCGCGUGACCUUCCUCAGGUCGUCCUGAGCCCCUGGAGCAUGGGGCCGAGAAAGAGGUUUCUCUCGGCAGAGUGGCACGGGCCUGGGCCUGACCGCAGAGGACCCAGGGGACAACUGUGCCCUGUUCCUGUUCUUUAAAGGACAGAGUCUUAAAACUCUAAACGCUCCGUGGGGUGCGCCUCUGGGUUCGCUUCCCUGGCAGCUCCCCAGCACACGUCCAGCUCUGACAGCACCCCCGUCAACGCCGAACCCCUGUGUCACUGGGGACACGAGCACCUGUACCAGAAGCUUGAGAACACUUAGUGAAAUUCAGAAGUACGUGUGUAAGCCACCCUUCGAAUUCCUCCAUCGGAUUCACCCUCCCAACCCCACGAGGAAGGCGCGGUGGAUGUAAAAGCACUUUGAGAAAAACCAGAACCAGCACGGGCCGGCUCCUCACCAGAAGUGACCUUGUUGAAGGAGAUGGAUUCCGACACGCGGCCACCCAAGGCCAUGCACAUCCGCUCGAACAGCUGCUCCCUGGUGAAGAGGUGCUGGUCUCUUGGAAGCAUCUGAGCAAAGCCCAGGGCUGCGUUUGUCCGCGGUGCGAUGGAGACCUGCGGAGUGGAGUGUCGGGUGGCCGAGUGAGCAGGCGGGAUCUGGACUUUGAGGCCGAAGGUGGGGUGGGGCAAGACGACGGGUCUUUAACUGGAGGCUUUCAAAGCAGUCAGAGCAAGUCUGCACCGGCCUCACUUUUGUGACCAAGGAGAACAGCUCACGUGCUGUUGGGCGGUGUCGUCCUUGCACGCCACGCAAAGCACAGCAAAGAUGGCUUCCUGGGUGGAGCCAAGGAGACAGGACCCCGCCCCCCAGCCCCACCCCGGGCCAGUCGUCGUGCCGUCCUGUCACCGCCCACCGCGGUGGACAUGGGACUGCACAAACCCUUGGGGACACCAAGACUGGAGACCAUCCUUGCCUUUCUCCCCCACCAGCGCAGCACCAGGUUGGCACGCGGGGGCUCUGGAGAGGAAGCUGAGAGUCUAAUACUUAAGCGAAUUACACUGUAAAAUGCUCUAAGUAAUGAUCACAUCCGCAACUGGCAGAGUGCCAGGCCGGGUGGGGGUGGGGUGGGGGGUGGUUCUCAUUAUGACAGAUUUAUCUUUUGGCCGUCAAACAGGAAAUUUUAAAUUACGUUUACUUCAUCCAGGAUUUCUCUGCAUUAAUUUUCUUGAGAUACUGCAUUCAAGUAUUUAUCUUGCUUACUGAAAUAUUUAGUGUCCCAUAAAUGUCACACCCUUGGUGACUGUCCUCAGCCUGACCCAGGUCACCUUAAUGACGGCUGCGUCCACUUGUCUGUCACAAACACUGGACUUCGGGCCCUCUGGGGGAAGGCCUCUCAGACACGACCAGACUAACAAUCUACUUGGCUACAACUGACACCUCUGAAAAGAAGUUCAAGGACAGUAAACAGACGUGUCGGCUGGCAGUGGCCACGUGUCCCCUUCUUCGGUGCUGGGGAUGCUCGGCGCUGCGGCUCCCUCCCUGCACCCGCGGGCCCCCUCUAGGCCGGACACAGGGCACAGUUCAGUCCGCACCCGCCUCCCACACCUUCACGUUUUCCUGAAGGGUCACUCGGUUCCCUGGUCAUGAAUCCACCAUUCUGGAGGAGUUGUUUAUACUAUAGGCAUUUGAUACAAAUAAAUUUUCAUCAAACUCCCAAA
Molecule: long non-coding RNA, 4275 nt
Organism: Leopardus geoffroyi (Geoffroy's cat)
Lineage: Eukaryota; Metazoa; Chordata; Mammalia; Carnivora; Felidae
Exons: 2
Source: RefSeq, a predicted model, not a curated record